RNAcentral lists this ribosomal RNA (519 nucleotides) under uncultured eukaryote. Its description in RNAcentral is "SSU rRNA". It matches the Rfam family "Eukaryotic small subunit ribosomal RNA", at positions 1161 to 1699 of the family's 1831-position model. The record is from RNAcentral.
AGGGCACCACCAGGAGUGGAGCCUGCGGCUUAAUUUGACUCAACACGGGGAAACUUACCCGGCCUGGACACUGGAAGGAUUGACAGAUUGAGAGCUCUUUCUUGAUUCAGUGGGUGGUGGUGCAUGGCCGUUCUUAGUUGGUGGAGCGAUUUGUCUGGUUAAUUCCGAUAACGAACGAGACUCUAGCCUAUUAAAUAGGCUCCCGGCUUUUAAACGCCGGGAGGACUUCUUAGAGGGACAGGUGGCGGUUCAGCCGCACGAAAGAGAGCAAUAACAGGUCUGUGAUGCCCUUUGUUGUCCGGGGCCGCACGCGCGCUACACUGAAGAGAUCAGCGUGCUUUAUGUUCCUGCUCCGACCGGAGUGGGGAACCCAGUGAACCUUCUUCGCGAUUGGGAUAGAAGAUUGUAAUUAUUCUUCUUGAACGAGGAAUUCCCAGUAAAUGCGAGUCAUAAGCUCGCGUUGAUUACGUCCCUGCCCUUUGUACACACCGCCCGUCGCUACUACCGAUUGAACGAUUU